CUGAGGUAGCUUGCUUAGCCUGCCUGCCCUUGGGUCAGGGCAGCAAUGUCGAGAGAUAACCACUUCACCUGAGCCUGCUUCCCACAGAGAUGUGUUACAGUUCCCUUUCCCACACGCUCCUCCUUAGAGCAAAUAUGUGUCAACAUCCUAAUGGUCCCAAGAAUUUAUAAAUUAUAUAUAGACUGCCUGUAUCACCUUAUUUCUUCUUUGUCAAGGAUAUCUCAUUAGGAAAGAGGAAUGAAAACUGUAGGACUACCCACAAAUGAUGACUGAGUUAACAGAGCACUCAACGACUAAAGGAGCUGAAAAUAUGCAGGGAACUGAUGUGCUGGCACCCCAGAGAAGGAGAAAAGCUGCACCUCUUUCUUAUGUCGCAGAAACACUCCUCUGUGGACUGAAAGGUUGGAAGCUCAAGUGGAGAAAGCUCACUUGACAGGAAGCAGGCAAAUUGUCAUCUGCAGUCUAUUGAAGAAAAGAUUUGCAUUUUAUUCCUCCCUGGAGACAGGUUAUAAGAAAGAAGAAUUAGCAGGCAAAAUGGAGCAAG
Lepidothrix coronata (blue-crowned manakin) is the source of this 544-nucleotide long non-coding RNA. RefSeq lists it as uncharacterized. Lineage: Eukaryota; Metazoa; Chordata; Aves; Passeriformes; Pipridae. The transcript is spliced from 4 exons. The record is from RefSeq and is a predicted model, not a curated record.